This 253-nucleotide ribosomal RNA is filed under the name uncultured bacterium. Its description in RNAcentral is "partial 16S ribosomal RNA". It matches the Rfam family "Bacterial small subunit ribosomal RNA", at positions 524 to 776 of the family's 1533-position model. The record is from RNAcentral.
GACGGAGGAUGCAAGCGUUAUCCGGAAUUAUUGGGCGUAAAGCGUCCGCCGGUGGCGAUUUAAGUCUGCUGUCAAAGACCACAGCUUAACUGUGGGCAGGCAGUGGAAACUGGAUUGCUAGAGUGCGGCAGGGGUAGAGGGAAUUCCCAGUGUAGCGGUGAAAGGCGUAGAUAUUGGGAAGAACACCAGUGGCGAAGGCGCUCUACUGGGCCGCAACUGACACUCAUGGACGAAAGCUAGGGGAGCGAAGGGG